Molecule: ribosomal RNA, 595 nt
Filed under: Salmonella enterica
Lineage: Bacteria; Pseudomonadati; Pseudomonadota; Gammaproteobacteria; Enterobacterales; Enterobacteriaceae
Description: partial 23S ribosomal RNA
Rfam family: Bacterial large subunit ribosomal RNA
Source: RNAcentral
AGCCGUCCUUGAAAUACCACCCUUUAAUGGCUGGUGUUCUAACGUAGACCCGUGAACCGGGUUGCGGACAGUGUCUGGUGGGUAGUUUGACUGGGGCGGUCUCCUCCUAAAGCGUAACGGAGGAGCACGAAGGUUGGCUAAUCCUGGUCGGACAUCAGGAGGUUAGUGCAAUGGCAUAAGCCAGCUUGACUGCGAGCGUGACGGCGCGAGCAGGUGCGAAAGCAGGUCAUAGUGAUCCGGUGGUUCUGAAUGGAAGGGCCAUCGCUCAACGGAUAAAAGGUACUCCGGGGAUAACAGGCUGAUACCGCCCAAGAGUUCAUAUCGACGGCGGUGUUUGGCACCUCGAUGUCGGCUCAUCACAUCCUGGGGCUGAAGUAGGUCCCAAGGGUAUGGCUGUUCGCCAUUUAAAGUGGUACGCGAGCUGGGUUUAGAACGUCGUGAGACAGUUCGGUCCCUAUCUGCCGUGGGCGCUGGAGAACUGAGGGGGGCUGCUCCUAGUACGAGAGGACCGGAGUGGACGCAUCACUGGUGUUCGGGUUGUCAUGCCAAUGGCACUGCCCGGUAGCUAAAUGCGGAAGAGAUAAGUGCUGAAAGC